This 253-nucleotide ribosomal RNA is filed under the name uncultured bacterium. Its description in RNAcentral is "partial 16S ribosomal RNA". It matches the Rfam family "Bacterial small subunit ribosomal RNA", at positions 524 to 776 of the family's 1533-position model. The record is from RNAcentral.
UACGUAGGGACCAAGCGUUGUUCGGAUUUACUGGGCGUAAAGGGCGCGUAGGCGGCGUGUUAAGUCAGCUGUGAAAUCUCCAAGCUUAACUUGGAACGGUCAGCUGAUACUGAUGUGCUAGAGUGCAGAAAGGGCAAUCGGAAUUCUUGGUGUAGCGGUGAAAUGCGUAGAUAUCAAGAGGAACACCUGAGGCGAAGGCGGGUUGCUAGGCUGACACUGACGCUGAGGCGCGAAAGCUAGGGUAGCAAACGGG